UUUCCACUCUGAAGCUGUUCACAGCCUCCUGCACCUCUUGCUCUGAUAAGGUGGCAUUGAGAAAAGACUCUUGUUUGGGGGGUCACGCCUGGAAGCUCCAAAUCCUUAAAAAAGAUUCUAUUUUGGCUGCCUCUCCUCACAACCCUCAGUAGCAAAAUGCAGGUCAACUCAAUCCCACCACAGGUCUUCUCAGCAAAAUGUAAUCAGCACAUAAACUGGCAGGAGAGCUGAGGUCCUCAACACCUUUGAGAAUCGUAGCUGCUAGAUAUCCGGUGUCAAGAGACUCAGUCAAAAACCAUACGUUUAAUGUCAUGUUUCAGGAUUUCUAACUAAAAAGCGUGCCUUGUUUUUAUCAAAUAACACCAUGAAGUUAAAUGAUACUCAAUAAAGUGUGAAAUUCUUCACAACAAUGUAAUCUGAGCGAAAGGCUUUUUAUUAAAGAUUGAUA
Molecule: non-coding RNA, 448 nt
Organism: Chiloscyllium plagiosum (whitespotted bambooshark)
Lineage: Eukaryota; Metazoa; Chordata; Chondrichthyes; Orectolobiformes; Hemiscylliidae
Source: RefSeq, a predicted model, not a curated record